RNAcentral lists this ribosomal RNA (408 nucleotides) under uncultured bacterium. RNAcentral describes it as "partial 16S ribosomal RNA". It matches the Rfam family "Bacterial small subunit ribosomal RNA", at positions 28 to 526 of the family's 1533-position model. The record is from RNAcentral.
GACGAACGCUGGCGGCGUGCUUAACACAUGCAAGUCGAACGAAGUGGCGAACGGGUGAGUAACGCGUAAUCAACCUGCCCUUCCGAGGGGGACAACAGUUGGAAACGACUGCUAAUACCGCAUACUGUAGGAGGGGAUUGCGUUGGCUUAGCUAGUUGGCGGGGUAACGGCCCAACAAGGCGAUGAUCAGUAGCCGGUCUGAGAAGAUGAACGGCCACAUUGGGAAUGGGACACGGCCCAGACUCCUACGGGAGGCAGCAGUGGGGAAUCUUCCGAAAUGGAGGAAAGUCGGACGAAGCAACGCCGCGGGAGUGAUGACGGCCUUCGGGUUGUAAAGCUAUGUUAAUCGGGACGCGGUACCGGAAGAGAAAGCCACGGCUAACUACGUGCCAGCAGCCGCGGUAAUUC